Molecule: ribosomal RNA, 1343 nt
Filed under: uncultured bacterium
Lineage: Bacteria
Description: 16S ribosomal RNA
Rfam family: Bacterial small subunit ribosomal RNA
Source: RNAcentral
GACGAACGCUGGCGGCGUGCUUAACACAUGCAAGUCGAACGGAAAGGCCCUGCUUUUGUGGGGUGCUCGAGUGGCGAACGGGUGAGUAACACGUGAGUAACCUGCCCUUGACUUUGGGAUAACUUCAGGAAACUGGGGCUAAUACCGGAUAGGAGCUCCUGCUGCAUGGUGGGGGUUGGAAAGUUUCGGCGGUUGGGGAUGGACUCGCGGCUUAUCAGCUUGUUGGUGGGGUAGUGGCUUACCAAGGCUUUGACGGGUAGCCGGCCUGAGAGGGUGACCGGCCACAUUGGGACUGAGAUACGGCCCAGACUCCUACGGGAGGCAGCAGUGGGGAAUAUUGCACAAUGGGCGGAAGCCUGAUGCAGCAACGCCGCGUGCGGGAUGACGGCCUUCGGGUUGUAAACCGCUUUCGCCUGUGACGAAGCGUGAGUGACGGUAAUGGGUAAAGAAGCACCGGCUAACUACGUGCCAGCAGCCGCGGUGAUACGUAGGGUGCGAGCGUUGUCCGGAUUUAUUGGGCGUAAAGGGCUCGUAGGUGGUUGAUCGCGUCGGAAGUGUAAUCUUGGGGCUUAACCCUGAGCGUGCUUUCGAUACGGGUUGACUUGAGGAAGGUAGGGGAGAAUGGAAUUCCUGGUGGAGCGGUGGAAUGCGCAGAUAUCAGGAGGAACACCAGUGGCGAAGGCGGUUCUCUGGGCCUUUCCUGACGCUGAGGAGCGAAAGCGUGGGGAGCGAACAGGCUUAGAUACCCUGGUAGUCCACGCUGUAAACGGUGGGUACUAGGUGUGGGGUCCAUUCCACGGGUUCCGUGCCGUAGCUAACGCUUUAAGUACCCCGCCUGGGGAGUACGGCCGCAAGGCUAAAACUCAAAGGAAUUGACGGGGCCCCGCACAAGCGGCGGAGCAUGCGGAUUAAUUCGAUGCAACGCGUAGAACCUUGCCUGGGUUUGACAUGGAUCGGGAGUGCUCAGAGAUGGGUGUGCCUCUUUUGGGGUCGGUUCACAGGUGGUGCAUGGCUGUCGUCAGCUCGUGUCGUGAGAUGUUGGGUUAAGUCCCGCAACGAGCGCAACCCUUGUUCACUGUUGCCAGCACGUUAUGGUGGGGACUCAGUGGAGACCGCCGGGGUUAACUCGGAGGAAGGUGGGGAUGACGUCAAGUCAUCAUGCCCCUUAUGUCCAGGGCUUCACGCAUGCUACAAUGGCUGGUACAGAGAGUGGCGAGCCUGUGAGGGUGAGCGAAUCUCGGAAAGCCGGUCUCAGUUCGGAUUGGGGUCUGCAACUCGACCUCAUGAAGUCGGAGUCGCUAGUAAUCGCAGAUCAGCAACGCUGCGGUGAAUACGUUCCCGGG